CGCACCCACAGAUGAGGAAGGGCGUAUCAAUUCACAAAAUGCUUCGGGGAGUUGAAAAUAAGCAUAGAUCAGGAGAUUCCCAAAUAAGGAAACCUUUAGAACUGCUGCUGAACACAUGGGAAGGAAAUAGAUAACUUGGCAAACUGAAACAUCUUAGUGGCCAGAGGAAAAUAAAGCAAAAGUGAUUCUCAUAAUAGCGACGAGCAAAAACGGAGCAUCCUGAAUUGAUAAAACGGGGUUGUGGGAGAGCAAUAAAAGCAUCGUUGUGCUGGGCAAAGCAGCCUCGAUGAUUCACCUUAGAUAGAGAAAGUCCAUUAUCCAAAAACAUCACUAGCUUACGCUCUAACCUGGGUAUCCUAGAGCACGUAUUAUCCCAUGUGAAUUAGCAAGGAUCACCUUGCAAGGCUAAAUACUCAUGGGUGACCGAUAGCGAAGUAGUAUGAUA
This 445-nucleotide non-coding RNA is filed under the name Solanum lycopersicum (tomato). RNAcentral describes it as "Bacterial large subunit ribosomal RNA". It matches the Rfam family "Bacterial large subunit ribosomal RNA", at positions 35 to 505 of the family's 2925-position model. The record is from Rfam by way of RNAcentral. Lineage: Eukaryota; Viridiplantae; Streptophyta; Magnoliopsida; Solanales; Solanaceae.